Long non-coding RNA from Dreissena polymorpha, 5126 nucleotides. RefSeq lists it as uncharacterized. The transcript is spliced from 2 exons. NCBI's taxonomy places the organism in Eukaryota, Metazoa, Mollusca, Bivalvia, Myida, Dreissenidae. The record is from RefSeq and is a predicted model, not a curated record.
GCGUGCUCGAAAAUGUUAAAGUUCUUAUUUCAUGGUAUAACUUUGGUAUGCUUGGACCUAGAGUCUUCAAACUUGACAUGAAGGUUGGCCAGGAUUAACAGAUGACCACUGGUCAUUUCAAGGUCAUUCAUUUGAAGGUCAAGGUCACUGUGACCUUCAAUAUAAAAAAUGUUAAAGUUGUUAUAACUUUGGUAUGCUUGGACCUAGAGUCUUGAAACUUGACAUGAAGGUUGGCCAUAACUAGUUAGUAACCACUGGUCAUUUCAAGGUCAUUCAUUUGAAGGUCAAGGUCUUUGUGACCUUGAAUGUAAAAAUGUUAAAGUUCUUAUUUCAUGGUAUAACUUUGGUAUGCUUGGACCUAGAGUCUUCAAACUUGACAUGAAGGUUGGCCAGGAUUAACAGAUGACCACUGGUCAUUUCAAGGUCAUUCAUUUGAAGGUGAAGGUCACUGUGACCUUCAAUAUAAAAAUGUUAAAGUUGUUAUAACUUUGGUAUGCUUGGACCUAGAGUCUUGAAACUUGACAUGAAGGUUGGCCAGAACUAGUAAGUAACCACUGGACAUUUCAAGGUCAUUCAUUUGAAGGUCAAGGUCACUGUGACCUUGAAUGUAAAAAUGUUAAAGUUGUUAUAACUUUGGUAUGCUUGGACCUAGAGUCUUGAAACUUGACAUGAAGGUUGGCCAGAACUAGUAAGUAACCACUGGACAUUUCAAGGUCAUUCAUUUGAAGGUCAAGGUCACUGUGACCUUGAAUGUAAAAAUGUUAAAGUUCUUAUAACUUUGGUAGGUUAAAAUGUUAAAUGUCAAUUCAAGUUCAUAUUUGUGACCUUAAAUGUUAUUGUUGUUCAUGUAUAUGCAUGCAUUCAAAACAUAACACAAGGUUUGCUCAUGCCUUGAAAAGUACUUACAUUUCAUUUUGACCUUUGAACAAUAUUUCAGUAAUUUAAGUAUUGCAUUGACAAAAACACGAAAGGUACUUUCCUGUCAUUUAAAUAAAAAAUCCGGCUUCAAUGCGGUCAUCUCCGACCGCGGAACUCUUGUUUUAAAAAUGCUGCUCACUCUCCAGCGAUAAUGCCUCUCCAGAAGGAUCACAAAAUUACAGCUCAAGCUAAGAAAAUUUGUAGCGAGUAAAGUCAUGAUGGAAAGCCAAUCUAAAUAACAAAUAAAAGCUAGUCACUUUCUUACUAAUACAUGUAUGGCUGGAAAUUGUGCGUCAUUCACAAAUAUAUCAUAAGUAAAUUAACAAAAUUAUUAAAGUGUAUAAAACAGCUAAAAAUAUAUGUUUCAGUAUGGAUGUUGCCAUCUUGAUUGUCACUUGAUUAUCCCCUCUGACAGUCAUUCAUUUUCAAAACUUACUCUUAACUUACUCUUUAAAAAAGCAUUCUUAUCAAGAUUUUACAAUAUGCUCGUCAUGUUGAGAAUUGAAGGAAGUUAAAAGAACAUCCAACAACUGGAUUGCAUAAUUAAAAUAUGAACAAAACUGUAUUUGAUCAAAUUUUGUAUUUUAGACAAACUGUUUAGUAGCUUAACUUGUGGUUGGAAUGUUUGCUAAAGUACAGUCCACUUCUUUAUUCUAUUAUCAAAGUGAUUUGUAUGGAAUCCAGUUGUGAAGUGUUUUUUUACAUUUUACAAGUGGAAUGUUUUGAAUGUGAUUAUAUCGAACAUUAAAUGUUUACGAUAAACUGACAAAAGCAUAUGAUUAAGAUUUUACUGGUUCAUUCUGAAGCAAAUAAAGUGCAGCUUACUGUUGACAAUGAUCCUCUACGCAAUUUUAUGCAUUAAUUAUAAAAAAGAGUCUGCAUUUUUUAAUGGAAUUAACGUUUUUCUUUUUAAGCAUGCAUAACUCAUUUUUCACAGUUUGAUGUUUUAAGUUUGCCUAAGUUUUACAAUCUGCCCUCACUGAGUAUAUAUGAGCCUCAUUCUGGGUAUACCAGUUUUAAUUCAUGUGCCUAAAAUUAUGUCCUAGAUUAGCCUGUGAUUUCUUUACAUGCUUAUCAGGGACGACACUGUCCGCUUUUUUGGUUAAAAAAAGUCUAUUUGUAACAAAAAUCCAGUCUAGACAGAAACUAUCCUGACUGAUUAGCCAGUGUAUAUUGCAGAGGCUAAACUGGAAUGGCACAUGCAUUAACCCUUUCAGUGCGGGAACUGAAUUUUGAAGGCCUUUGCAAACAGUUUGGAUCCAGAUGAGACACCACAACGUGGCGUCUCAUCAGGAUCCAAACUGUUUGCUAUUCUGAUAGUAUUCUUUGAAAAAAAUCGAAGAAAAUGCUUAUUAUAGAAAUUCAGCAGACGACAUUUUAGCAGACGACAAAUUUCCCAGCAUGCAAAGGGUUAAGCUCAGUUUUCCAGAACGUGGCUCAUAUAUGCGGACUUAGUUUUGUGUCUCAUGAAAAACAAAGUUAGCAUACGACUUCAUUAAAUACUGGGUACACAUAUUUCAUCAUUGUCUAUGUUGUUGUAAAAUAUUGGAAUUUGAAUAAUUAAUAUGCAUAUAUGUUUAUGUUUUAGAAAUUUUUAUACAUGUAAUGGUUAUGACUUCCAUCUUAUGUUCCAUCUUACUUUAUGUUAAUUCAUUUAAUUAUAAACGUUUUUUUAUAUAUUAAUUAACAUUUCACAUGAACGUUUCACCCAUGCAAAGCAGUUUACAGAGUUUUGCUUCAUUUGUUUAGGGCUGUAUGAAAAUUCGUUGUGAUUGCUAUAAUUUAUUUGUUGUUCAUCUUGUUUUUAAUAUUGGUUGUUCUUUUUUAAUCUUCUGUUCUUUGUUCAGGAAAAUGUUAAUAUAGUUUUGUUUUAGUAUUGCUAUGUUUAUGUAUUUUUCUUUGAUAUACAUUAUUUAUUGAAUUUAUACACAUUUGUGUUACAUUAAAUGACAAAAUUUGAUUGUUUUGUUAAGAAAUUUUAUUUAUCUGAAUGUACUGAUUGGUUGCUUUUCUUUCUAUAAAAUGUUCAUUCUGAACAAUUUUACCCAAAACAAGUGUUGUACAUGUAUGUCAUUUUGAACAAGAAGCCGCUUAUCUGCUACUUUUCUGAAUGUUUUUAAUUAAAUGCGAUUAUUAUUAUCAUUAUUGUGUAUUUUAUAUACACAGAGCAUGCAACUGUUAAAUUAUUGUCAGAAUGACUUACUUUCCAAUUGAUUAUUGAUUUGAGAAUAGAAACUGUCAUUUCAUGGCAUGUAUAUAUUUUAGAAUUAUCAAAGUCAUUCAAAUAUUUUGUUCAAAACAAACUGCAUGCCCAUAGUUUUAUCGGUUUAUAAUACUGAUAUUUUCCUGUUAAUUUGUAUAUUUGCUACUUAUUUUAAAAACCAACUAUAGAGCUAAAAUGUAGGGAAAUACAAUACAAAAUUUCAAGCUUAACAUAUUUUAUGUAAUUGGAAUAAAUCCGGCAUUAAUACAAUUGUAAUCAGUACGCAUUAGUACUCAGGGUUAGGUGUAAAUAAGAGGCCUUUUAGAAAAUGUCUUUAUAUAAAAUGUUGUUUGUUUUUGUAUAAAACAUGUAUAUAUGAUAGCAUUCAGACAAGCACAUGGUUCAUAAUGCUGCUCAAACAUUUUUUUUCAAAAACGUUUGAGUUCUGACCAUUUAUUUUAAAAACUGUUGUUAUGUAUCUAUUAUAUCAAAUGGCCUUAGAUCUGCAAACAUUGUAUUCAUUGAAAGCUUACCCAACAAGCAAACCAUUAAUAGAAGAUUGAACCAUCAUUCUUUUUCAGUUAUAGUAUUUUCAUAUUUAUGACGAUACCAUUGUUUUGCUAUUUAGUUAAAAUUAUUAUAUUGUGUUGUUUCUGUUGACAAUUUGCUUCCCUGAUUGACACAUUUCUAUUGUGUGUAGUUAAUACUAGUUAUAAUUAUGGUUAGUCGAACCAAGUUGUGUUGCUUCUCUUUUCAUGUAGACCUUUUUGCUGCACUUUUUGUUUAUCAUCUCUAAUUUGUACAUACAGAAAUGCUUAGCCUAACCCAUACUUUAAGGUGUUGCUGCAGUUUUGCUGAUUUUUUUACCAUCAAAUAGAUUUUGUCAAAAAUUUAUAUUUAAGAUAUAGAUACAAAUACUAUAUGAAAAAUGUAAUAAAAACAUAGGGUCACUGGCCUUGUUUUGAUUUUAUUCACCAUUAUAUAACAUGUUCUUUUUCAAUAAAACUAAAAAUCUCUAAUUGCGUAAAAAUAAUUUAUAACCUAUGAAAUUGGCAACAUGUAGAUAUUAUUUAAGCUAAGAAACAUCAUAUACCAUUUAAUUAAACCACACGCUACCAAUAAAAUGGAGAACACAAGUAUGAUUUUAAGAAAUUUAUUUUUUUUAGAUUUUUAUGUCACAUAAGAAAACAUCAUUUUUUUACUAUUUUAACCACAUAAAUGAUUUUUAAAAAAAACUACCAUAUAGAAUUCUGCGAAACCAUACAGUAUCAAACUCAACCUUAAUCAUUAAUAACUUACAUGUUCACGGAUUUUGGCAUGUUUUGAAGUUUGUGUUUAAAUGCUUUAAAUUGAUUAAUGUAAACAGCAGGACUAAAGAGCUCCAGUAUAAAACAAGAAUGAAAUUAAAGAAAGAAAAAAAGUAAAAAAAAGUUAACUCGCCUGGGAUCGAACCACUGACAAUUGUGUUAUGAACCUACUCGGUCAUUUCUGAUGAUACUGAUAACAAAAAUAAUUAGUUGUGAUAAUAGUAUCAUCGGUGUUGCUAUGAAUAUAUCCUCGAUUAAAUAAACUGCUGCAACACCCCUUAACUUCAUAGCCUAAUGUUUUAAUAUAUUACAUCCUAAAUUCUUGUAUUGUUUGGCAAAACUUCAUGAAUUGCCCAUUUAUGUAUAUUUUAUUGGUAUUAUAUAUAAACGUAUAUAUAUUAUAAGAACAAAAGUUUAUCAAGAUUCAAAUUAUGUGUCAACAAAUAAAUAAUUUAUAAGUUAUUUUAUACCAAAGAAAAUAACUAUUUAUUUUAAUAUUUAUCAUUUUAUUUGUUUUUAAUUAGUUUAUUCCGCUUUUGUGGAAUUUUUUGCUAAUGGCGACUUGCCUGUAUUUUUGUGUAAAUGCCUUGAGACUUUUGUGCCAGUAUAACACCCGAGGUAAUAAUAUAGUCUGUGUAUAGCUAAUAGCCAUUUAUUGUUUGUGCAAUGUUGAAUUGACAAAUAAACUUAGCUCUUUA